UACGGAGGGUGCGAGCGUUGUUCGGAAUCACUGGGCGUAAAGCGCGUGUAGGCGGCCCAUUAAGUCUGAUGUGAAAGCCCGGGGCUCACCCCCGGAAGUGCAUUGGAAACUGAUGGACUCGAGUCCCGGAGAGGAGAGUGGAAUUCCUGGUGUAGCGGUGAAACGCGUAGAUAUCAGAAGGAACAUCAGUGGCGAAAGCGGCUUCCUGGUCCAGUACCGACGUUCAGGCACGAAAGCGUGGGGAGCAAACAGG
RNAcentral lists this ribosomal RNA (253 nucleotides) under uncultured bacterium. RNAcentral describes it as "partial 16S ribosomal RNA". It matches the Rfam family "Bacterial small subunit ribosomal RNA", at positions 524 to 776 of the family's 1533-position model. The record is from RNAcentral.